Long non-coding RNA from Musa acuminata AAA Group (dessert banana), 542 nucleotides. RefSeq lists it as uncharacterized. The transcript is spliced from 3 exons. The record is from RefSeq and is a predicted model, not a curated record. Lineage: Eukaryota; Viridiplantae; Streptophyta; Magnoliopsida; Zingiberales; Musaceae.
AGACGCCGCUGCUCGUCUCGCCAUGGACCUCUCGCCGAUACUAAACACCCUUCGCUGCCGAAUCGUCUACGCCCGCUACAGUGCGACGAGCUCGUGCUCCAGGAAAGAUCCUCCGUCGCCUUCCUUAGGGUUUCGAGCUCGAUUCUUCUCCUCUGUUCUUCAGACCUUUAAUGAUCGCUCAUCAGGAACGGCGCGAAGUUUUUGUGGAAGUCGAUGCCCCGAGAGAUGAAGGAGAUCAGACCGGAGCUCGUCGCCGCUUGGAAGAUCGGACAGUGCCUCUAGACUCGGGAUUAUGCCGGGGUUUAUGAUGCAAUCCAUGGCUUUGAGUGGAGCCCCGAAAUCGCUGGCUUGGUCAUCGCCUUCUCAGAUGAAUACUGGAGCAAAGGAUGAAUCAAGUGUUGUGUCACUGAAGUGUUUCACAAAGCUGUCCGAAGCCGCUUGCAAUCUGGUUUCUCUGUUUUGGUACAUGACUCACCCAUUUACUGAGCAUCAUGAAUAAUUAUUGCAACCCUCUGAAAACCCAUAUUGCCCGACUUUGAUUU